AGCGAACGCUGGCGGCAGGCCUAACACAUGCAAGUCGAACGAACUCUUCGGGGUUAGUGGCGGACGGGUGAGUAACACGUGGGAACGUGCCUUUUGGUUCGGAAUAACUCAGGGAAACUUGUGCUAAUACCGAAUGUGCCCUUCGGGGGAAAGAUUUAUCGCCAUUAGAGCGGCCCGCGUCUGAUUAGCUAGUUGGUGAGGUAACGGCUCACCAAGGCGACGAUCAGUAGCUGGUCUGAGAGGAUGACCAGCCACACUGGGACUGAGACACGGCCCAGACUCCUACGGGAGGCAGCAGUGGGGAAUCUUGCGCAAUGGGCGAAAGCCUGACGCAGCCAUGCCGCGUGAAUGGUGAAGGUCUUAGGAUUGUAAAAUUCUUUCACCGGGGACGAUAAUGACGGUACCCGGAGAAGAAGCCCCGGCUAACUUCGUG
Molecule: ribosomal RNA, 433 nt
Filed under: uncultured bacterium
Lineage: Bacteria
Description: partial 16S ribosomal RNA
Rfam family: Bacterial small subunit ribosomal RNA
Source: RNAcentral